This is a non-coding RNA of Pelobates cultripes (western spadefoot toad), 437 nucleotides long. Lineage: Eukaryota; Metazoa; Chordata; Amphibia; Anura; Pelobatidae. The record is from the annotation of a GenBank genome assembly.
AUUCUUAUUUUCGUGCUAUGUAUUGUACCUGUUAGGGCGAUGUAGCGGCCCUCCGGGUCAGCAAGUGUCUCAGUGACGUGGAGUGGGCAGUUUUUGUGUACCAGUAUUGCCACCCGGCUCGCUUGUGGAGCGCUCUCGCCUCGUGGGUCUGUGGGAAAUGUCUGUCUUUCAGGGUUAUUGACGCUGACCUAGGAAUGUGGGUUUCUUGUAUAAGGGCAAUGUCGAUUUUGCGUGAUUUCAGGUCUCUCAGUAAUAGCCUACGUUUGUUCGGGGUAUUAAGUCCCUUAACGUUGAGUGAGGCGACCUUAAGGGCCAUUCGUGUGGGGUGUGGUGGUGUGUUCGUGUGAGCACCUACUUUGUUGUGUGGUCUGUGUCCCUCUAGCCGUGGGUGGAUCCCCCUCGCCCGGGAUGCGGGCAGCAGCAGUCACGUACCGUAG